GGAUGAACGCUAGCGGGAGGCCUAACCCAUGCAAGCCGAGCGGUAUUGUUUCUUCGGAAAUGAGAGAGCGGCGUACGGGUGCGUAACACGUGUGCAACCUGCCUUUAUCUGGGGGAUAGCCUUUCGAAAGGAAGAUUAAUACUCCAUAAUAUAUUGAACGGCAUCGUUUAAUAUUGAAAGCUCCGGCGGAUAGAGAUGGGCACGCGCAAGAUUAGCUAGUUGGUGAGGUAACGGCUCACCAAGGCGAUGAUCUUUAGGGGGCCUGAGAGGGUGAUCCCCCACACUGGUACUGAGACACGGACCAGACUCCUACGGGAGGCAGCAGUGAGGAAGAUUAGUCAAUGGGUGCGAGCCUGAACCAGCCAUCCCGCGUGAAGGACGACUGCCCUAUGGGUUGUAAACUUCUUUUGUAUAGGGAUAAACCUACCCUCGAGUGGGUAGCUGAAGGUACUAUACGAAUAAGCACCGGCUAACUCCGUG
RNAcentral lists this ribosomal RNA (480 nucleotides) under uncultured bacterium. Its description in RNAcentral is "partial 16S ribosomal RNA". It matches the Rfam family "Bacterial small subunit ribosomal RNA", at positions 27 to 507 of the family's 1533-position model. The record is from RNAcentral.